UAGGUUUUUUCAAGUUCAGCUCCUUAGAAUUUCCAGCAUCAGAUCCUAAACCCUUUGCAGAAUGGUGUCCAGAACCAAAGAAAAUUAUGGUACUUCCAGAGAAUAGCUGUAAUGUUCCGACAAGAACAAAACCAGAGGUUUUUAUAAUUUCCCAAGGAUGGGAGUCAAUUGAGAUUUUUAACGAUCUCAAUGGAGACAUAAAAUCUAAAAUGGCGGUUGUCUUAGAUGAAAAUGAGGGCACAUGUUUUCCACUUCCAACACAAGAAGACUU
This is a long non-coding RNA of Saccostrea cuccullata (small rock oyster), 271 nucleotides long. RefSeq lists it as uncharacterized. The transcript has 4 exons. The record is from RefSeq and is a predicted model, not a curated record. Lineage: Eukaryota; Metazoa; Mollusca; Bivalvia; Ostreida; Ostreidae.